UACGUAGGGGGCAAGCGUUGUUCGGAAUUACUGGGCGUAAAGGGCUCGUAGGUGGCCAACUAAGUCAGACGUGAAAUCCCUCAGCUUAACUGGGGAACUGCGUCUGAUACUGGAUGGCUUGAGUUUGGGAGAGGGAUGCGGAAUUCCAGGUGUAGCGGUGAAAUGCGUAGAUAUCUGGAGGAACACCGGUGGCGAAGGCGGCAUCCUGGACUGGUAUUGACGCUGAGGCGCGAAAGCCAGGGGAGCGAACGGG
RNAcentral lists this ribosomal RNA (253 nucleotides) under uncultured bacterium. RNAcentral describes it as "partial 16S ribosomal RNA". It matches the Rfam family "Bacterial small subunit ribosomal RNA", at positions 524 to 776 of the family's 1533-position model. The record is from RNAcentral.